This is a non-coding RNA of Oryza sativa Japonica Group (Japanese rice), 1855 nucleotides long. Lineage: Eukaryota; Viridiplantae; Streptophyta; Magnoliopsida; Poales; Poaceae. The record is from RefSeq and is a predicted model, not a curated record.
CGCGAUUACUACGCCGCACUUCCGCCCGCAAAUUGUUUUCUUCGACAAAACUGCCGCCUGCCCUCCACCCCACCGGUGGCCGCGCCUUCCUACCACCGGCACCAUCGGGCACACCUCCCUUCCCCUGGUGGCUGCGCCUCCCUACCGCCGCCGCGGGCGCCGUCGCCUGCCCCUCAAAUUCCGCCGGUGGCUACGCCUCUCUACUGCCGGCGCCGGCGCCGUCGCCUGCCCUCCAACCAGUCCGCGCCUCACCGCCGCCAGCGCUGGGGCUCCACCCCGCACGUGCCUUCCCCACCGCCGGUGCCCUGAGGUGCAGCCGGGAAGAAGCAUCCGAUGCAGGAAUUAAGAGCACAAGACAACGAGAUGAUGGAAAGCAACACUGUCUACUAGAUGCAGUUUGUUAACAGUGAGUAUUUCUUUGGUGAAUUUAGUUUGCACUGAAGAACUGCACAUGCGAAGGAGGGAUUAUUGUCAUGUGUCAAGGUUAGGGAUUAUGGUCACUUUUUUUCUCAUAUAUAUGCACUAUCGUCUUGUUCUUGCGAACACGGUAUCUGCACUAUUUUCAUUGAAUCUUCUAGCCCAUGCAAAACAGAAUGUUGGUAUAUGCCAGACACACUACUAUCCAUAAUUUUGCCAUUGUUUAUUGGUCAACUUUUUCCAUGAUUGAUAGAAUUCAAUUCCAUAUCUUUUUUAUCAGCACCAACAUUAGCUUCAUUCCUUAAUUAUUUUCUACUUGCAUUAGAAAGGGGACUUCAGAUCAUGUAGGCCAAUCCUAUACAUUGGCUGAGCACUCUCUUCAAAAGGAAGAAUGUGAUCACAAACAACAAUCUGGGCAUGACCUUCUACCAAUGUAUGAAUACUAAUUGAAUAUUUGAUUUUUUUUUCUUCACAUACACUAAUUGAAAUACUACUAGCAAGAGAGCUAUAUAUAAUACAGUAAGGUGGUUGUUCAUCACAAAUGAAAGUCAAGGAUGGUUAUUUAGCAAAAUUAUUUCCGCGUUGAUCUGGCCCUUCAUAUUUCUACUGCUUAUACUGUAUAAAUGGCAUUUUUACAUGAUUUUAUUAACUAUAUUAUUGCUGUACCUAGAAGUUAUGUAAUGUGAUUCAUUUGUGAAUGACAGAAAUUACGAAAUAUGGAAACUGUUGUUUGAUGUUUUCUCAUACAGAGCCAUAUGCCAAUUAUUGUCUAUCCAAGCGCAUGUUGUUAAUUCAUUCUAAGAAUUAUUCCUUCUGCCUGACCAUUCUGAUCUUUUCUUACUAUAUUGAGAUACAGGCACAUCACGCCUCUAUUGCAAAAUUGUGUCUGUGUGUUUUUAAUCAGUCCAUCUUUUGCCAAAUUGAGAUACAAGCGUUUUUUUUGACCUUUUCCCACUUGCAGCCAUCCAACUAGCUAACAACGACAGCACAUUUUGGUACCUCUUUUUGGCUUGCUGCUUGGCAGCUACAUUUCGAUUUGUUAAAACAAAUUCAGCUACAUUUGGCAGGUAACUCCAAAAUAUUCUGAUUAGGGAAAAAAAGAUAGCUAAUGCAGUUACUUGUCAACAUACCCUCAUGUUACUUUAUGAAAUGCAAGUGCCAUGGAAAGGUUAUAUUCGAAGUUAUAGCCAUGUAUGUGCGUUGUAUUUUCUCACAUUUAUCUUACUUUCAUCUGAUAUACAUAAGCACUAUAUGUUCCUCCACUUAUCUGUUUACUAUCUCUUUCAACCAGUUUUUCACUAGCAAAGUUCUUUGCAAGUAAUUGCUUUGUAAUCUGUAUUGUGCGUUGUUACGUAAGAAAGGAUAAGUGGAUGAGAAUACAGUUGUAUAUAGCACAAACACAAGUAUCGGGGAUUUGAUGUAUAUACUGUUUAGAUCA